CACCGGGAAUGCAUCUUUGAACAUCGUAUUGCAUUCGUGUUUCCAUCGUUUCCAUCGGGCAGUUUUGACAUUACGAUGUCUACACGAAUGAAUCACGAAGCUACCCGAAGGUCUUACGAUGGCAACACGACUUCGUGAAGACCUCGUAAUCCCAUCGUGUUGCCAUCGAAUAAAAGUACGAAGGCGACAAGAUGGAACUACGACGGCAAUAAAUCCAGC
This 219-nucleotide long non-coding RNA is filed under the name Mytilus galloprovincialis (Mediterranean mussel). Lineage: Eukaryota; Metazoa; Mollusca; Bivalvia; Mytilida; Mytilidae. The record is from RNAcentral.